AUUCCGGUUGAUCCUGCCGGAGGACAUUGCUAUUGGGAUUCGAUUUAGCCAUGCUAGUCGAACGAGUUCAGACUCGUGGCGAAUAGCUCAGUAACACGUGGCCAAGCUCCCCUUCAGUCAGCGAUACCCUCGGGAAACUGAGGUUAACAGCUGAUACAAAACGCCAGCUGGAAUGCGGCGUUUCAGAAAGACAUCGCUGAAGGAUGCGGCUGCGGCCGAUUAGGUAGACGGUGGGGUAACGGCCCACCGUGCCAGUAAUCGGUACGGGUGAUGAGAGUCAGAGCCCGGAGACGGAAUCUGAGACAAGAUUCCGGGCCCUACGGGGCGCAGCAGGCGCGAAACCUUUACACUGCACGGAAGUGCGAUAGGGGAAUCCCAAGUGCGAGGGCAUAUUAGCCCUCGCUUUUCUCGACUGUAAGGUGGUCGACGAAUAAGAGCUGGGCAAGACCGGUGCCAGCCGCCGCGGUAAUACCGGCAGCUCAAGUGAUGUCCCAUAUUAUUGGGCCUAAAGCGUCCGCAGCU
RNAcentral lists this ribosomal RNA (522 nucleotides) under uncultured haloarchaeon. RNAcentral's name for it is "bacterial SSU rRNA". It matches the Rfam family "Archaeal small subunit ribosomal RNA", at positions 1 to 526 of the family's 1478-position model. The record is from RNAcentral. Lineage: Archaea; Methanobacteriati; Methanobacteriota; Halobacteria; Halobacteriales; Halobacteriaceae.